This 255-nucleotide ribosomal RNA is filed under the name uncultured bacterium. RNAcentral's name for it is "partial 16S ribosomal RNA". It matches the Rfam family "Bacterial small subunit ribosomal RNA", at positions 524 to 776 of the family's 1533-position model. The record is from RNAcentral.
UACGGGGGGGGGCAAGCGUUGUUCGGAAUUACUGGGCGUAAAGGGCUCGUAGGUGGCCAACUAAGUCGGACGUGAAAUCCCUCGGCUUAACCGGGGAACUGCAUCCGAUACUGGAUGGCUUGAGUUCGGGGAGAGGGAUGCGGAAUUCCAGGUGUAGCGGUGAAAUGCGUAGAUAUCUGGAGGAACACCGGUGGCGAAGGCGGCAUCCUGGACCGACACUGACGCUGAGGCGCGAAAGCCAGGGGAGCAAACGGG